This 593-nucleotide long non-coding RNA is filed under the name Sorghum bicolor (sorghum). Its description in RNAcentral is "long non-coding RNA (SBIC_LNC003679)". The record is from RNAcentral. Lineage: Eukaryota; Viridiplantae; Streptophyta; Magnoliopsida; Poales; Poaceae.
GAUCUGAGCCCUCCUCCCUCCUCCACGUUUUUCAACUCUGCUCCUCCUCCUCCUACUACUUCUCCUUUGGGUCUGGAUCUACGGGAUGUGGUGGUGGUUAAGGUUUCGAUGAGCUUUUGGGUUUCAGCGCUCGCGCAUGUUGUAAUGGUGUUCUCUGCUUGUUGCAGUACGUUUUCAAGUGAUGUUGCAGUAGGGUAGGAUUUUGACGAGCUCUCAGGUUCAGGUCUCGUCUUCAUUGCAAUGGUUCUCUCUAGACGUUGCAGUAGGUUUCAGUCGUUUGUUGCAAUACUCUGUUUCAAGAUGUUGUUUCACUUGCUUUAAUCUGCAUGUUCUAGUAGUUUCUUUCAUGUUGUUGCAGCAGUUGUUCGAUGUUGUUGUAGUACUAUGUCCAUGGUGUUUCAGUUGCUCCAUUUAAUGUUUUAAUCUUCACUGUUGUAUUAGUUGUUGCAUGUUGUUGCAACAGCUGUUCGGUGUUUGUUGUACUACUAUAUCCAUGGUGUUUCGGUUUCUCCACCCAAUGCUUCAAUCUAGCUGUUGCAUUAGCUGUUACAUGUUGUUGCAGCAGUCGUUCGUUGUUGUUGUAAUACUAGGUU